GAUGAACGCUGGCGGCGUGCCUAAUACAUGCAAGUCGAGCGAACAGACGAGGAGCUUGCUCCUCUGACGUUAGCGGCGGACGGGUGAGUAACACGUGGAUAACCUACCUAUAAGACUGGGAUAACUUCGGGAAACCGGAGCUAAUACCGGAUAAUAUAUUGAACCGCAUGGUUCAAUAGUGAAAGACGGUUUUGCUGUCACUUAUAGAUGGAUCCGCGCCGCUUUAGCUAGUUGGUAAGGUAACGGCUUACCAAGGCAACGAUGCGUAGCCGACCUGAGAGGGUGAUCGGCCACACUGGAACUGAGACACGGUCCAGACUCCUACGGGAGGCAGCAGUAGGGAAUCUUCCGCAAUGGGCGAAAGCUUGACGGAGCAACGCCGCGUGAGUGAUGAAGGUCUUCGGAUCUUAAAACUCUGUUAUUAGGGAAGAACAAAUGUGUAAGUAACUAUGCACGUCUUGACGGUACCUAAUCAGAAAGCCACGGCUAACUACGUG
RNAcentral lists this ribosomal RNA (497 nucleotides) under uncultured bacterium. RNAcentral's name for it is "partial 16S ribosomal RNA". It matches the Rfam family "Bacterial small subunit ribosomal RNA", at positions 28 to 507 of the family's 1533-position model. The record is from RNAcentral.